Molecule: ribosomal RNA, 253 nt
Filed under: uncultured bacterium
Lineage: Bacteria
Description: partial 16S ribosomal RNA
Rfam family: Bacterial small subunit ribosomal RNA
Source: RNAcentral
UACGGAGGGUGCUAGCGUUGUUCGGAAUUACUGGGCGUAAAGGGCGCGUAGGCGGCCGUUUGGGUCGGAUGUGAAAGCCCGGGGCUCAACCUCGGAACGGCAUUCGAUACGGGACGGCUGGAGACCGGGAGAGGAGAGUGGAAUAGCCAGUGUAGAGGUGAAAUUCGUAGAUAUUGGCUGGAACACCGGUGGCGAAAGCGGCUCUCUGGCCCGGUUCUGACGCUGAGGCGCGAAAGCGUGGGGAGCAAACAGG